This is a long non-coding RNA of Photinus pyralis (common eastern firefly), 1815 nucleotides long. RefSeq lists it as uncharacterized. The transcript is spliced from 2 exons. Lineage: Eukaryota; Metazoa; Arthropoda; Insecta; Coleoptera; Lampyridae. The record is from RefSeq and is a predicted model, not a curated record.
AUAAAGUGAAACAGAUGACUGUGCAUUCUAAUGACAUUUGUCAUUCUUAUUUCAAAUGCACGAUUAAAAUGACGUAAUGCCAAUUCUGUUUCUAUGGCAAGGAUCGCGAGGGCAGAACCUGAGCUUGCUAUUUUUGACGUCUCUAAAUUAAAUUCAAAAUUGUCAGAAGCUUUACAAUGAUUUAUAUGGCUUCUGCUAUAAAAUAAAGUGUUGUAUUAUACACAACGAUAAAGGGACACUAACCAUCUCUCAUCAAUGGUUAAAAUAUCGCUUUAUCGUCUAGCUACAAGAAAUGUAAGUAGCGUAUUUAGCUUCGAGCCGAGGAAUAUUAUUCUUCCAAGAAGGUUAAUAGCAACUACAUUCCGGGUUGCUUAUUACAUUUUUCGCGCUAAUGUUUAAGGGAAUCGCGGGAGAUGAAUUAUUGUGCAAAUGUCAAAUGUGACAGAUAAGUAAUUAUUUUCCUCGGUAUGUAAGUAAUAAGAAUGUAAAGUCUGCUGUCAGUAGCAACCAGUACUCUAAAUGUAAUUGGAGCCUUACACAGAGCCGCCGUUAGCCUCAACGGGCCUCGGGAAUAUUAUUUGACCGGGCCUCUAUAAUUGAAAUCUUGACCCAUAGUCGAUCUCAAACGGUUUUUUACCUAGCGAGCCUUCUGCCACUGUGACGUAAUUAGUAAAUUUUGCUCAAUGGUAUGGUUUUUUAAAUCUUCUGCUGUGCAUUUUUUUAUAUUCUACUCUCUCAUAUAGAGGUAUGCAUAUGCAAAUUUCUUACAAUUAAAAAUCAAUUCAAAAUCUCUUUUGGCCGGGCCCCCAGAAUACUAUCGGGCCCCGGGGUAAAUGCCCCGGCUUACCCCCCUUAUCGGCGGCCCUGGCCUUACAUUUGACGUUGUCAUGUAUUAACUUACUCUUACAGAGACGAAAGCGCGAAAUUCGGUUGUGGCUUAUUUCAUUUAUAUCUUUCCAAUGAGCACAAGAUAUUUAACAUCAGACAAGGGGUUACUGAGAUAGAUACGACCCGAAUUGUGAUCGGUCCUGUACACAGGGUGGUUCAAAUUUGUCGCUCACAAUUGGGAUGGUCGUAACCGUGAGAGAUAGAGUGUAGCCAUUUAACAUUUUUGAAUAUUGUUUGAAAGUAACUGAGAUAUCACCGAAAAACUGAAAAUGUCAAAUUUUAUUUUCAAACUAAUAUUUUAGAAUUUUAACCACGUUAACCCAUUAUUAGCAGGUGUUUGUUUCCUAUGGUAAAUUAAAACAAGUAUUCAGGAUGUCGAUAUUAAGUUGAUAAGCGACCUUUAUGCCGACCUGAGAAAUUUCAAUUAGCAAUAGGUGUUAAUUGGACUACCGAUUUUAGAAAUUUCAAUCCGGCCAAUUAAGUAAGUGAAAUUAAUAGUAUCUAAAAAAAUGUGAGCGAGCGCUCUUAAUUAAUUUGAAUUUUAAGAUCAAUUACAGAUUUUUAGGACGUCAGCAGGUCGCACAAUUAUUUAAAGAAGUUGCAAUUUUUGGAUGUAGAUGACCGAACACACUGCGUCGGUUGGCAAACCAUCGUUCUCUCCACGGCAUAGCAGAAUUUUAUAAAAGCAUUCACCAGUAGCCGGCCGCCGCUUUCUCUUAAGAAUUCCUGGAGUUACCAUUUACUCCGUUUGAGUUUUCCCGAGGCUUCCGAGAUCGAUCCGCAAACGGCACUGACCUUGACCAGGGGCAAGGCCGUACUCUUGGUAACGCUUAAGUCCGUCCGUCCGUCUGCCCGUCCGUCCUUUCCGCCGCCGACAGUCACUAUAAUUUGUAAUUUUUUUUUUUGUAAACUAAAUUAUAAUCAUUA